This 493-nucleotide ribosomal RNA is filed under the name uncultured Arcobacter sp. RNAcentral's name for it is "bacterial SSU rRNA". It matches the Rfam family "Bacterial small subunit ribosomal RNA", at positions 892 to 1382 of the family's 1533-position model. The record is from RNAcentral. Lineage: Bacteria; Pseudomonadati; Campylobacterota; Epsilonproteobacteria; Campylobacterales; Arcobacteraceae.
CUCAGAAACUUAAAGGAAUUGACGGGGACCCGCACAAGCGGUGGAGCAUAUGGUUUAAUUCGACGAUACGCGAAGAACCUUACCUGGCCUUGACAUACUAAAAAGCUUUAAGAGAUUAGAGUGUGCUAGCUUGCUAGAAUUUAGAUACAGGUGCUGCACGGCUGUCGUCAGCUCGUGUCGUGAGAUGUUGGGUUAAGUCCCGCAACGAGCGCAACCCUCGUGUUUAGUUGCUAACAGUUCGGCUGAGAACUCUAAACAGACUGCCUACGCAAGUAGGAGGAAGGUGAGGACGACGUCAAGUCAUCAUGGCCCUUACGGCCAGGGCUACACACGUGCUACAAUGGGGUAUACAAAGAGCAGCGAUACGGUGACGUGGAGCAAAUCUAGAAAAUGCCUCUCAGUUCGGAUUGUAGUCUGCAACUCGACUACAUGAAGUUGGAAUCGCUAGUAAUCGUAGAUCAGCAAUGCUACGGUGAAUACGUUCCCGGGUCUU